This 399-nucleotide ribosomal RNA is filed under the name uncultured bacterium. Its description in RNAcentral is "bacterial SSU rRNA". It matches the Rfam family "Bacterial small subunit ribosomal RNA", at positions 30 to 425 of the family's 1533-position model. The record is from RNAcentral.
AUUGAACGCUGGCGGUAUGCUUAACACAUGCAAGUCGAACGGUAGCAGGUCUAGCUUGCUAGAUGCUGACGAGUGGCGGACGGGUGAGUAACGCGUAGGAAUCUGCCUUAUUGUGGGGGAUAACCUGGGGAAACUCAGGCUAAUACCGCAUGAGCCCUAAGGGGGAAAGGAUGGGACCGCAAGGCCAUUCGCGAUAAGAUGAGCCUGCGUCGGAUUAGCUUGUUGUGGGGUAAAGGCCUACCGAAGGCGAGGAUCCGUAGCUGGUCUGAGAGGACGACCAGCCACACUGGGACUGAGACACGGCCCAGACUCCUACGGGAGGCAGCAGUGGGGAAUAUUGGACAAUGGGGGNAACCCUGAUCCAGCAAUACCGCGUGUGUGAAGAAGGCCUGCGGGUUU